This 406-nucleotide ribosomal RNA is filed under the name uncultured bacterium. RNAcentral's name for it is "partial 16S ribosomal RNA". It matches the Rfam family "Bacterial small subunit ribosomal RNA", at positions 30 to 526 of the family's 1533-position model. The record is from RNAcentral.
AUUGAACGCUGGCGGCAGGCCUAACACAUGCAAGUCGCACGAGUGGCGGACGGGUGAGUAAUGUCUGGGAAACUGCCCGAUGGAGGGGGAUAACUACUGGAAACGGUAGCUAAUACCGCAUACCAUCGGAUGUGCCCAGAUGGGAUUAGCUUGUAGGUGAGGUAACGGCUCACCUAGGCGACGAUCCCUAGCUGGUCUGAGAGGAUGACCAGCCACACUGGAACUGAGACACGGUCCAGACUCCUAUGGUCGGCAGCAGUGGGGAAUGUUGCACAAUGGUGUCAAGCCUGAUGCAGCCAUGCCGCGUGUAUGAAGAAUGCCUUCGGGUUGUAAAGUACUUUCAGCGGGGAGGCGUUACCCGCAGAAGAAGCACCUGCUAACGCCGUGCCAGCAGCCGCUGUAAUUC